UGGUGGUAUGACUACUUCUUUGACCUACGAUGUCUUAGCUACUCACAGUGAGGUUGCUAUGAUUUGACUAUACAUACAUUUGUCCCUAGCUAUAUAGGUCAUUGCGGUGCAUGUUGGCUGUAAUAGAUUCAUUGUAGGAGUAGGUUGCACCUAAAUGAGAUUUAUCGACCUUGGUAGAUAAGGAGAAGUCCUAUAUAAUUUAUAAAAUUGAGUUCAGAACUCCAUGGCCAUGGCAGAGUAAAUGAUGGAAACGAGUUUUCAUAAGGUUUCACUUAUGAACUCGAGU
This 286-nucleotide long non-coding RNA is filed under the name Elaeis guineensis (African oil palm). Its description in RNAcentral is "long non-coding RNA (EGUI_LNC070353)". The record is from RNAcentral. Lineage: Eukaryota; Viridiplantae; Streptophyta; Magnoliopsida; Arecales; Arecaceae.